This 13952-nucleotide long non-coding RNA is filed under the name Olea europaea (common olive). RNAcentral's name for it is "long non-coding RNA (OEUR_LNC001064)". The record is from RNAcentral. Lineage: Eukaryota; Viridiplantae; Streptophyta; Magnoliopsida; Lamiales; Oleaceae.
CCAAAUGUACCUAAGUCAAAGUCAGGACCUCCAUCUGUUGACAAUUCAGCUUGGGGAAUUAGAGAUAGUGGAGAGUUAGUUGUCACCACAGCUGCCUUUCCUGUGCUUACAACUGCACAUGGUCGUUUCUUCAUAGCCUACAAUUCAUGCCACCAAUCGGGGUAUCCAUGGAGUUUGAAGCAAUUAUCACGGGUGUGUUUUUUAUUACCACAGUAAGAACAUUUUCCCCCUUCAAUAGUGCUGCAAAUUUUGGAACCAACGGUCAAUUUUCCUGUACCUCGAGAUGAUGUACCAGUAGAGGUAGGAACACUAGAACCCAACUGCAACCUCUUUGUGACCAGAAACGCACCAGAGACAGUGGCAAGGUCGGUUGUCAUGAAAACCUGUCGGAGUGCUUCCCGGCGAACCUGUGCAUAUACUUGUUCGAUGGUUGGAAAUAGUUUCAUCUGGAGAACAUCGCCUUUUACACUAUCCAGUUGGUCAUCAAUUCCAUCCAAGAAUUUGUAUACUUGUUCUUCUUGGACCGGAGAGUUAUAUUUGUUGAUGUCAGUAGCACAUAUCAUUGGAUUGGGGCGACGGAAGUCAAUUUCUUGCCAAAGUCCCUGCAGUUCGGAGUAGUAUUUCUCAGGGAAGUCAUUGCCUUGUUUCAGUCGAGACACUUGUCGUCAAAGGUCAUAGAUUUGAGAAGAGUCGUUGCCAUCAAAAAAUGUAGUAGCAAUGGCAUCCCAAAUUGAUUUGGCAAUAGGAAAUCUAAUGAAAUUACCAAUGAGUGUUGGAUCCAUGGAGUUUAUCAACCAACCUUUGACGAUGGCAUCUUCGGUGCCCCACUUUCGAAAAGAGGGAUGAGUUAGAGAGGGUUGAGGGAAAUCACCAUUGAUAUAACCCAGUUUGUCUUUGCCGGAGAUGUACAUCUCGACAACCUGGGACCAUAGAGUGUAGUUGGAACCAUACAACUUGACACCAAUCUAGCCAGCUGUAGUUUCACGGGUCACAGUUGGGAUCUGGGCUUUGGUCAAAAAUUCUGUCAUUUUUGUGGUAAUUGUAUCUGUGAGAAGGGUGUCAGGAUCACCAUGAGAGUCACCAGAUUUUUCUUCAGUUCUGAUGUCCUCCAUGGUCGGAAAAAUUGAAGCUUUGGUUAGGAGGUGGUGGUAAUGGCAACACCCUAGAAAACGUGCUGCUUUGAUACCAUGUGAUCUUUUUCCAUUUUAUUGCAUAUAUUUUUACAUUGAUAGGUUACAAAUAAAUAGAAUAAGAAAAAACUAUUUUUAGCUAUAUAAUCUAUUUUUGACUACUGUGGGUGGAAUCAUGAGAGGAAUUCCCUAUUUUGUUCCUAAAUUGGUUCUAAUAGCUCACGCCAACAUUUACAACAUAAUGGAGGAACCAAGGACUGGUCUUCUAAUCAUAUCACCAAGAUACCUCUUACCCGUGCUAGCAACAUAAGAGCGUCUCCAAUGGUGGCGUAAAAUUGAGUGUAAAUUAGUAUCUUCAAAAUCACUUUUGCAUCCUCAUUUAUAUCCCGGUGGAUCCAAAUUUGAAUUUUGCUUGAUGAUCUAAAUCCACCUUUUGCAUCUUAUAGAUAUAAAUUUACAUUUUUUACUGAAAAAAAUAAUUUUCUUUUGCAUCUCGAGAGGUUUUCGGCCACUUUGGAGAUCUAAUUCGCAAUUUAGAUCUAUUUUUCACCACGAUUGGAGCUACUCUAAGACGUGUAGGAAAUCGAAUCCCGUGGAGUAGCUUAAAUAAAACCGCUGAAGCGCCGGUUUUAAUUUGCCCAACAUUUCAGUUGAUUAAUUUUGAUCGAGACCUUGCUCAUAUCAGCUUCAGUAAAAUAUCGGGCAUUUACGAGAAGCAAAUCAAAUAUAAUCAUAAUAUGUCAUAUUGUUGAGUUAGCAUUGAAUUCUAGUUGUACUAUCUGUAUACAGCAAAAGUCCUCUAUCAUCCAAUACACAUCUCGACUAGUUCGAGUUCAGAUGGUGCUGUAGGAACAACAUAAGAUGAUCUCGAUAGUCAUAUAAAUAUUUACUUUAGUGCUUUAUCAACAACACAAGGCAGAAUUCAUUAUACAAAGAUAUAUUUUCAUCAUUCACGCAAUAAGAAAUUUACAAUACAAACCAAAUCAUAAAACAGUGAUCUAGACAAUAGAUAAUAGAUAACUAAAUUUUACGAUUUAGUACUAGGCAUCGGACCAGGUGAUAUCCAACUCGCCCACAUUGCCAGAUACUCCUAAGGCUUUCCAUACAGCUUUAGAGGCAUCGACAAUGUUAUUAUCACAUGGAGGUUGAUAAUCAUGGUCGUCAUCACAUCCCAUGGUAGAAUCACACUCGUCAACCACCAUAGCAGUUACACUUCGGCCAUUAGCAGUUAUUGUGAUAUUGUUAAGGCAUCUUGAUCCUCCGCUGUACCAUCCAGUUGACAGAGCGACAACUGGUGUGUCAUCGGAGUGGUACUUGUUGUCACAUUCUGAUGGUGCACCGCCAUCUCCACCCUUCUCGAAGCUGUUAAUCGUGAGAACUGCCUUAGUGCUACCGGACACUGAUGGUGAACAUUUGUAGGUGGUGUAAGAUUUUCCCUGUUUACAGCAGUCAGAUUGGUUUUCCUGGUUGCAUUGUCCAGGGGGAGGCUUUUUUCCAAUUAUUUUGCCACUUGGCUUGCACUCUUGAAGUCUAGCCUCUGAAAAAUGAGUAACAAGAAAGAGUAGCACAAAAAGAAGAGCUCCUGAGCUUAAUUUCUUCAUCUUUUCUCUCGAAUCAAAACACAAGUAUUGAUGAGAUGAUUGAGUUUGGUGCAAAUUCUGAUCAAAGGAUUCGUUUAUAUAUAGUUUGGCCAAAGAAAAUGCCAAGAUUGUGCUCAAGGUAAAAGAAAUACAAAAAUGAAAUACGUCAGAUUAGUAUUCAUAAAUAAUGUUAAGGUUAGUCAUAAAGUCCAUGGGAGGGUUCAAAUAGAACCAUGACUGUAAACUAUGCUGCGUUUUUCUGUAUAUUCACGCAGAAGCUCGAGCUAUUAAAAAUGAGAUGCUAUUAAUUAUUUAUAUUUUAUUUUCUAUGCACUAUCUCACAUGCAGCUCGUAUUAACGGUUAUACUUAAACCUAUUAAAUUAUCUCAUCUAAAAGUUUAAGUUAUUUGCGAGAUGUAAAUUUUAUAUAUUUAUAUUUAUAUAUUGUCUUUAACCAUGUGAGUUUUGUGAUUAUUAAAGCCAUAUGAAAAGGAACCUUCAAAUAACUUGUAUACCAUAUCUCAAUCCUCAGUCGUCUGUUCAUUUUUUAAGAUUCCAUCAACAUUUUGUCCCAUGUUUUAUUUCUAUUUUCCUUUGAAAAUCCCAGAAGACAUUAGAUGUAUGGCAAUUUGUUGGUGUUCUUUGACCAGUUCUGUCAGAGUGCAAAAUUAGAUGUAGAUUACCAUUUAGUUAAGAUAUCAGUCUCUGUCACUGAUGUUGAAAAGUUUAUAAGCCACGGCACAAACAAAUAAUUUUAAUGAUAAAAGAUUUGAUAGAUUAAAUUAGUGGCCUGGCCUGUUGAACUGUACACUGGAAUAUAUGACUGACCCUAUCACUUUUCACAUGAUGACAUAAUUCAUAACAUGUUUGUGUAUUGAGAACUAUAAUGGUAUUUUCAGCAUAAUUCAUAACCAAUUUAUUUUUGGCAUUGAGAGCCAUUCGCAUGAGCAACGCCGUGUGGGAUAAUUGUCGCCAGUGAGUAAUUCUAGGGCCAAAAUAGCACUGGGAUUAUCUGCAGCAGUCAGGAAAUAAGGUGAAGUGAUCACUGUCAAGUUGGGCUGGUGUGAAGGUGACGAUGGUGUCUGCCAUGGUGAAGAUGCGAAAGUGUUCAGAGAUCCCAAAGAUCAAGAUGCUCUGUUGCCAUGAUAAAAGAAGAGAUGAAAGAAAAUAUUCUAUAUUUUACUGUGUUUCCUUGAUGAUGCUGUAAAUGGAGAUUACAGCAUAUAUAUAGAAUAGAGAUACUACAGCACAAGGGAAGGUAAAUAACAGUGAGCUGUGAGCUUAAUCGGUGCACUUUGUGAUGCUUGAAUAGUGCAAUCCGUGUGCUAGAAAUAGCAGUGAGCUGUGGGGCUUGACUAGUGCAAUUUGUUUGCUGUUAUAAUGUGGUGAAAAUGGCAUUGAACAGUGAAGCUUAACUAGUGCAAUCUGUCUACUGGAAUAAUGUAAUCUGUUUGCUGGCUAAUAGUUUGAGUAAUUACUCGAUAUUUUCGUGCUAUAGACGGGAUGUUAUAUUGGAAGGCCAAAGUACAUUAACAACACUACCAUAAGUGCUAAGGGCCAAAGAAUAAGUGCUCUAGUCAUUGUAUGUGAUUCUACUGUGGGAUGUAAUGAGGACCACGAUUAUCAACAUUACAUAGCGGUGCUUGCAUACGACAUGGUCCAAUGCCUAGCAUAGUUUAUUACAAUUGCAAUUGUGAUCUUGUUAAUAUUAAAGCAUUUUAAGAAUUUUACUUCCCGGUUUACUAAUUUAUAGCUUGAAAAUUUUCUCAUUCCUAGUCCACCUAUAUAUAAAGAAUGUUCGUUUCACUCGCUGAUAGUACUUUUUUUUUUGGAUGAGUAUAAUAUAGCUAAGAAUGUCAAGAGACAACCAAGGAUUAACUUGUUGAAAACGUAUAAGAAAUGCAAUAAAAAAAAUCUCAAGAAAACUGUCAACCAGCUCAUUUAAAAGUUUAAAGGGUGUUUUAAAUUAUAACCAAUUUUGGAGGUAGGGUUGAAAAAUUUUGGCCAAUUUUUAUUUAUUAUUGAUUAUUUUUAUUAUUAAUAUUAUUAUUUUUUUACAAAAGUGUCCAUUUUUUUAUGUCAAAGGGCGAAAAAACCAUUUUUGUAAGAAUGGCCAAAUUUAUUAUAUGGUGUAGAUUUCUUAGUACAAUUCUUGGUGUAGAUUCAUAGUAUCCUUGUUUACAUUUUGUUCUGUAUCCAUGUCAAAUUUGUAUAUCAUUCAAUGUAAUUCAAGAUGUACUAGUUUGGAUGAAUCAGAAACCUUUUCUCUUGUGUAGGCAAAUUUUCUUCAUUGCGAUCAAAUUAAGUACUGCACUAACUGGUUAGCAUGGUUUGAACCAUAAAUCUCAUAAUCAUCAAUAUUAGUUACAGUGGAUUUGAUGACAACAGGCGGACUCAUUAAGGGUCUUGUGGGUUUAAUUGCCCCAAUUGGACCCAUAAUUUUUAACAUUGAAAAAAAAAUGCCAUUAUAAUUUUAGCCCAUAAUUUUUAAUACAAAUCAAUUGCCCCCAUUGGAUCCGCCCCGACAAACGAGGUUCAUAAUGGCUGUUUAUGUGAGUAAAAGUUUUAUGUGACUUUAUGAAGACCUAAACAGUAGAUUCUCUAAGCAUGUAAAAUGAGAUCAGUUUUAGUGAUGGCAACAGGGCGUGUUCAGGCGGGACGUCCCCACCCCACCCCGCCACGGCUGGUCGGGGAUGGGGUAACUUUUUGCCCCGUUUAAUAUAUAUAUUUUUUAAUGUUUCAAGUUAUGUUAUUAUUAGAAAAUAAAAUACAAGUUCAAAAUGAAUUUUGAACGGGUGAAUUGUUUAGAAAUAAAAUUAUUUUUAAUUUUUUUCCUUCACGGGCCGGGUUUUAUUGCCAUCCCUCAUCAGUUUUGAGGUUACAUCGUUGUUUUUAUUUCUAGCUAACAAAAUACUCAAAUACGAAAGGGUUAUUGUUGUUGAACCGGUUUAAACUUUAGACAAAAGAAAACGUUUCCUUCACAUGUAGCUGAAUUUAUUUUCAGCUUUGCUACAGUGACAAGGAGAGGUUGAUACCUUUUUUUUUUAAAUUUUUUUUUUUUUUUUUACUUNNNNNNNNNNNNNNNNNNNNNNNNNNNNNNNNNNNNNNNNNNNNNNNNNNNNNNNNNNNNNNNNNNNNNNNNNNNNNNNNNNNNNNNNNNNNNNNNNNNNNNNNNNNNNNNNNNNNNNNNNNNNNNNNNNNNNNNNNNNNNNNNNNNNNNNNNNNNNNNNNNNNNNNNNNNNNNNNNNNNNNNNNNNNNNNNNNNNNNNNNNNNNNNNNNNNNNNNNNNNNNNNNNNNNNNNNNNNNNNNNNNNNNNNNNNNNNNNNNNNNNNNNNNNNGAUGUACUAGUUUGGAUGAAUCAGAAACCUUUUCUCUUGUGUAGGCAAAUUUUCUUCAUUGCGAUCAAAUUAAGUACUGCACUAACUGGUUAGCAUGGUUUGAACCAUAAAUCUCAUAAUCAUCAAUAUUAGUUACAGUGGAUUUGAUGACAACAGGCGGACUCAUUAAGGGUCUUGUGGGUUUAAUUGCCCCAAUUGGACCCAUAAUUUUUAACAUUGAAAAAAAAAUGCCAUUAUAAUUUUAGCCCAUAAUUUUUAAUACAAAUCAAUUGCCCCCAUUGGAUCCGCCCCGACAAACGAGGUUCAUAAUGGCUGUUUAUGUGAGUAAAAGUUUUAUGUGACUUUAUGAAGACCUAAACAGUAGAUUCUCUAAGCAUGUAAAAUGAGAUCAGUUUUAGUGAUGGCAACAGGGCGUGUUCAGGCGGGACGUCCCCACCCCACCCCGCCACGGCUGGUCGGGGAUGGGGUAACUUUUUGCCCCGUUUAAUAUAUAUAUUUUUUAAUGUUUCAAGUUAUGUUAUUAUUAGAAAAUAAAAUACAAGUUCAAAAUGAAUUUUGAACGGGUGAAUUGUUUAGAAAUAAAAUUAUUUUUAAUUUUUCUCCUUCACGGGGUGGGGCCCAUCGAGGUGGAUUUUAUUGCCAUCCCUAAUCAUUUUUGAGGUUACAUCAUUGUUUUUAUUUCUAGCUAACAAAAUACUCAAAUACGAAAGGGUUAUUGUUGUUGAACCGGUUUAAACUUUAGACAAAAGAAAACGUUUCCUUCACAUGUAGCUGAAUUUAUUUUCAGCUUUGCUACAGUGACAAGGAGAGGUUGAUACCUUUUUUUUUUAAAUUUUUUUUUUUUUUUUUACAUUUUCAAAGUUUCAAGUUAUAUUAUUAUUAGAGAAUAAAAUACAAAUUCAAAAUGAAUUUUUAAUAGGUGAAUUGUCUAGAAAUAAAAUUAUUUUUAAUUUUUUUUCCUUCACGGGGCCCCGUCGGGGUGGGUUUUAUUGACAUCCCUAAUCAUUUUUGAGGUUACAUCAUUGUUUUUAUUUGUAGCUAACAAAAUACUCAAAUAUGAAAGGGUUUGUUGUUGAACCGGUUUAAACUUUAGACAAAAGAUAAACAUUUCCUUCACAUGUAGAUGAAUUUAUUUUCAGCUUUGCUACAAUGACAGAGAGAGGUUGAUACCUCCUUGACCGAACUCUCACGAUAGGGAUGGGACAACUUUUUGCCCCGUUUAAUUUUUAAAAUUUUUUUUUUUUAACAUUUUCAAAUUUUCAAGUUAUGUUAUUAUUACAGAAUAAAAUACAAAUUCAAAAUGAAUUUUUAACGGGUGAAUUGUCAAGAAAUAAAAUUAUUUUUAAUUUUUCUCCUUCACGGGGCGGGGCCCUAUCGAGGUGGGUUUUAUUGCCACCCCUAAUCAUUUUUGAGGUUACAUCAUUGUUUUUAUUUCUAGCUAACAAAAUACUCAAAUACGAAAGGGUUAUUGUUGUUGAACCGGUUUAAACUUUAGACAAAAGAUAAACAUUUCCUUCACAUGUAGCUGAAAUUAUUUUUAGCUUUGCUACAGUGACAGAGAGAUGUUGAUACUUCCUUGACCGAACUCCCACAAUAGGGAUGGGGCCACUUUUUUUUCGAUUUUAUUAUUCACACCAGUCCCACUUGCACGUGAGAGGAUGUCAAAGGCUUUUUUCAACAAUUUUCAGUCAACUCUAUUUAAUUCAUUUAUUUUCUCAUCAGGAUUGAACAGGACUGAGCAGUCCUAAAGGAUUCUCUCGAGGGACAUUCAUCUGGAUUUUCUUCUGCUGAAUCAACCAACAUGAUUCACUAACAGUAGAUUCAAUAGGGGCCCCAUCUUGAUUAUUUAGAUAUAUUUGAAGACCAGCCUAGGAUUCUGUGAAGGUUCACAAGGAUUCUCUUGUUUAUGACGAUCAUCUCUGCAGACAGCUAAGAAAUUAAUCUAGGUACCAACAUUACACAACUUGACCGAUGUCUUGUCUCAUACCGUGCCAUGCUAUAUAUGUUGAGAAUCAACUGAAUUGCACAACAAACCAUUGACAACCCGAAAGAAGGAAAAAAUGAAGAAUUUUUCAGUUCUCAUUUUGUUUCUGAUUAUCACGUCCUUGAAUUUAGAGGUUGGUGCUCAAUCCUGCAAACCAAGUGGCAAGAAACUACAUAAAGGGGAAUGCAAUCAGCAGAAUGACUCUGAGUGUUGUGAGGAAGGCAAGUAUUAUUAUGACAUAUACAAUUGCUCACCAAAGAUUUCAAGCAAAACGAAAGCAAUUCUGACCAUCAACAGUUUCGAGGACGGUGGCGAUGGUGGUGGCCCGUCAAUAAUUACCACUCAGAUAAUAAGCCAGUUGUGGCACUGUCAAUGGGGUGAUUCUACAAUGACAAGAGGUGCUUAAAAAAUAUUACUAUUUAUGGGAAUGGGAGGAGUAUGAAUGCAAUGGUGGUCGAUAAGUGUGAUUCUACACUAGGCUAUGAUUCAGACCAUGAUUAUCAGCCUCCUUGUUAUAACAACAUUGUUUAUGCAUCUAAGGCUGCCUGGAAAGCUUUAAGGGUGCCGGAGAAAAACUGGGGCGGAUUAGAUAUUCACUGGUCUGAAUCGUCUUAUGCUUAAUUGUAACGAUGCUACAACACUGUACGUAAAAGAGAUUUCCUUGAUCAUGUUGUGAUUCUCCGAUCACGAGAAGAGAAGAUGAAAAACAAUUCUAUUUCUAUCUUGAAUAGAAUUUACAAUAGAGUAUUACAAACUCUCAAAAAAAACCCUCUUAAAAAUGGGACUUUCCCUCUCUCUUGGGGCAUAUUAUUCUCUACAAAUGCAUCCCAUAUUUAUAAGAAAAUUUUGCUGCAAACCGCCUAAAAUUUCUGGUCCAAAAUCGGCCAUGUAGGUGCUUUGUGUUUUAACAAAAUGGGUAGCAAACCGACUGAAACUUCUGGCAAAAAAAACCUGCUAUUUUUCCUGCAUUUUUCGGCUGCAUUUAAUGCAUAAUUUCCUUGCCUCAGUUUUCAGAUUUUAGUCAACAAAAAGAUGCAAAAUGGUGGCUAGGAGAAUUUAUAAACCAAUCAAAAAUGGCAGCUGCCUUCAUUCAAUUUCUCUUCAGGUGGUGGGAGAGGUUUCAUGCAUGCAUGAGGGAGUCUUGCACGUUAAGGAAUUGAAAUUCAACAAUUUCGGCUGGAAGAAACUUGAUUUAUAUGCAAUUGGAACAAAUCAGAUCAAUGAUCUAGAGCUACCUUUUUCUUCAGCAUCAAAAGAAUAAGGAGUUUUCCAUUCGUGGAGUUAUUCUAUUCUGGCCUUGUUGUAUUGGUGCAUGACCUAAUAAGAUAUGAAUACAGGUUGUUUGACAAAGUUUUUAAUAAAAGUUUUAAUAAAUUUUGAUAAAGGUUAAUGAAAUAUGUGAUCGAAAAAUUAAUAAAAAAUUGCUAGUCCUAUGAAAUGUGUGGCUAAAAUUCAAGUGUAACCAGUGAAAAAGUUGAUAAAAUUUUAUUAAAGAUUUAUCAAACAAGCACUAAGUAGUUUUCUUUUGUAGACAAAAUACUAAGAUUUUAGAGCCUUGAAUGUAAAUAGCUAUGUGAUAAUAUUUAGUAGUGAAUUCCAUGAUAUGCCAUAUAUCAUAGUUAUCAAACCCGACUCGGAUAUCGACCCGAUCAAGGUACCAGGUUACUAGUUGGACCAAUGAACCGGUGGUCGGAUCGGUGUGUCAUUACUUAAAAAUAAUUUAAUAAUUUUUAAAGUAUAAUUUUUUUAUUUUUUUGUUUGAGACAAAAUUAAAAUUUAAAAGUUCUUUCUCACUAAUUUUUCUAUACAUUUAAAUUAAUGAUUUUCUAAACUCAUUCAUCAGUAAUGAUGGCUAAAUUUUGAUUUUAUAAUUUUAUAUAUUAUAUUAAAAAAAAUAUUUUUUUCCCUUUUUGUGAUUUACAAAUUAUUUAUUAGUUAUUGACAAAAAUUCUGUGUAUUAUCUAUUCAAUUUAUCUUAGUUAAAAUUAAUUUUUUUUUCAAACAAAAUAAGUAUAUAAAAUAAUUAUUUGAAAUUACGAAGUGAAUGUAAAUGUUGGACUAAUUUUUUUGAAAAAGUUUCUGCAAGUAGCAAAUUAUAUAUAGGUUAGAUAUAAUUUAUUAAACAAAAGACAAUAUAAUAUUGUUUGCAUUAGUGGUGCAUUAGUGGUACGGCUAUUUUCUACUUACUUAGAGGUCAAGGGUUCAAAUCUUUGGUACCUACAAUUUCAAUGUAAAAGAGUUUUGAAAUUUGGUUUAAAAACCAAUCAGGUUGAACUGGGCUGAACCGGCCUGAAAAUUAUUCAAAAAUACCUAUUGGCCCGGUCAAAUCCGAAUUUUGAUCGGGUCACUUGCAUUUAUAUAAAAGGAAAAAUUCAUAAUUCAAUUGUAUUAUUUACACUAAUUCAAAAAUCAAAUAGAUAGUUUAAAAAUUCAAAACUCAUAUAUAUAUUUAAUUAAUUAAAAAUAUCUAUUAAAUAAAUAUAAUAAAAUCACAGUUAUAUGAUUAAUGGUCACAUAUUCAUAAUUAUAAAUCACAGAUUUAUUUGUUGGUCACAUAGCAUCGAACUAAUUGAUCACAGAUCAGUUCGUGAUCACAAAUCAAAAAUUUUGUAGGUUAUAGAUUAUUUGAGGUCAUAGGUCACAUAUUUUCACAUUUAUUGGUUGCAGAUUAUUUUUUUAGUCACAAAUUAUGGAAGUUUAAGGUCAAAGAUUAAUAAUUAAUCCACGACGUUGACAACCAACACCACCACUAAAUAUCACCACGAUGGUUGCAUCAACACCAUCGCCUAAAUCAUCGUGGCCACCAGAAACACUAAUUGCAUCAUAACUGCCAUCAACACAACCAUCAACCACCCAAAAAAUAAUAAUAAUAAAACCUAACAAAGGAUGCACCAUCACCAUCCCAACACCAACAUUGCCUGUAUUAUCUGCCAUACCAGAACCAAUAGCAUCUUCGUACACGUCACGCACAACACUCAUAGAUUCUGGAUAGUUGGAGUAUCUGUUGGUUUACAUUCCAACAUUCCUACUUCAGUAAGUAAAUCCAACACGUACUUUCUUUGAGAUAAAAAUAAACCUUGUUUUGAUCUAGCUACUUCUAUCCCUAGAAAAUAUUUGAGCCCUCCUAAAUUUUUCAUCUCAAAUUUAGUUGCCACUUGUCUCUGAAUUUGGGAUAUCUCUUCCUUAUCGUCUCCUGUGAUAAUCAUGUCAUCUACAUAGAUUAUUAAAGUAGUUAUCUUGUCACCUUUAUGCUUUAAGAAUAAUGUAUGAUCUGAAUUACUUUGCUGGAACCCAUACUUCUUCAUCGUCAAACUAAAGCGCCCAAACCAUGCUAGAGGUGAUUGUUUCAACCCAUACAAUGAUCGUUGUAAUUUGCAUACUACUUUGGUUUCUAAGGAUGCUGUGUAGCCUGGAGGAAUGUCCAUGUAUACUUUUUCUUCGAGAUCAUCGUGAAGGAAUGCAUUUUUUACAUCAAACUGAUGUAGAGGCCAGUCCAGGUUAGCUGCGAGAGAUAACAGUACUCUAACAGUAUUCAGUUUAGCAACAUGUGAGAAAGUUUCUUGGUAAUCAACUUCAUAUGUUUGUGUAUAGCCUUUUGCCACCAAUCUUGGUUGGUACCGUUCAAUGGAGCCAUCUAACUUGUGUUUGAUGGAAAACACCAUUUACACCCUACCGUUUUCUUUCCUUCAGGUAAUGGCACCAGAAUCCAUGUGUCAUUUUUCAAUAAUGCUUCCAUUUCUUUUUUCAUUGCUUGAGCCCAUUUCUGAUCAGAUAAAGCUUCUUGAACUCCAGUCAGAACAUGAUUUGAAGAUAGUACGUGUGCAAAAGCUUUGAGAUGUUCGGAUAACUUCAUGGUGGACAUUUAGUUGGCAAUUGGAUAUCUUGGCCUUCGUUCCUCCACAUUCGGAGAAUAUCUAAUUGGUGGCUUACCACGAUUAUGCCUGAGAGGUAAUAUAUAACAAGCAUGAGUAUCCAAAUCAUUUAGAAAUGUAUGAAGAUUGCUUACCUCAGAGAUAUUCUCGGGAGAUGGGUCUGUAGGUAUUGGAGGAGAAGAGGGGUUUGGUUCAGUUUCCAAAGGUGUAAUGUUAUUCCCUGAAGAUGUAGUGUCAUUUUCUAAAAAAGCAUUCAUAUCAGUUGUCGGCUCUGGCCUUGAGGAGUUCGGUUCAACUGCUUUACUUGGCCCUAUAUUAGAGUUUAGCCACUCAAGGUGUAGCCAAUUUUGCUCUUCAUCUCGUUUCUCCUCCUGAAGAGAAGAAUUGGUACCAGAAGAAAAAUAGGGAUCAGAUUCCAAAAAUGUGACAUCCAUUGUCACAUAGAAAUGUUUUUUCACGGGGUCAUAACAACGGUAGCCUUUUUGGUGAACACCAUAUCCCAAAAAUAAACAUCUGAGAGCAUAAGGGUCAAGUUUUGUUCGUUGGUUCUUAUUAAGAUGUACAUAGACCACACAACCAAAUACUCGAGAAUGGAGCAUUAGGACUGUAGGUAGAGGAACAUAGGAUGCUAGGACCUGGAGGGGAGUCUUAAAGUUUAAGAUUUUUUUUGGCAUUCGAUUUAGUAGAUGUACAGCAAUGGAUACCGCAUCAGGCCAGUAUCGAUGAGGUACAUGAGUACCAUGUAACAAGGUCCGAGCAGUUUCAAGAAUAUGGCAAUUCUUCCUUCCAUUUUCCUGAGGUGUCAGGGGGCAAGAUGUCUCAUGAAUGAGGCCGUGUUGCUCAAAGUAGGUGCGGAAGUGACAUAUUCACCACCAUUAUUAGAUCGAAGGACUUGGAUCUUAGCAGAAAAUUGUGUUUAAACCAUAGUACGGAACGAAUGAAAUAUUUGUAGCACUUCAUCCUUAGUUUUCAUCAAGUAAAGCUAAGUCAUGCGAGUGCAGUCAUCAACAAAAAUAGUAAACCAACGAACCCCAGAUCCAACAGAAAUAGGAGAAGAACCCCACACAUCAGAAUGAAUUAAAGCAAAGGGGAUACUACUUUUAUUCAUGCUCAAAGGAUAUGAGUUGCGAUGACUUUUAGCAACAAUGCAAGUACCGCAUUUUAAACUAGAAUAUCCAUAUUCAAAAACAAAUCAGGCAAUAAAUGUUUCAAAUAACCAAAUGAUGGAUGUCCCAAACAACGAUGCCAGAGCCAAAUCUGUCGUUCUCGAGCAUCACCCCGAACAAGAUGUGUACUUCCCACGCUGAAAUCUUCCAAAUAGUAUAAUCCCCCUCUUCUAGUACCACACCCAAUUAUCUACCUCGUGAAAAUAUCCUGAAGAAGGCAAAAAGUAGGGUAAAUUAGCAUCGCACAAUUUAAUUCUUUAGUAGCUUGACUAACAGAUAAUAAUUUAUGGCUAAGUGAUAGCACAACUAAUGCAUUAGAUAAUUGAAGAGAGGGAGACAAAGUCACAGAACCAAACCCUGUGACUGGAGAAAGAGUCCCAUUUGCAUUUGCAACACUAGUGCGUCGUGGUGGGGGUUUUUGAGUAAAAUCUGCAACAUCAAAGGUCACGUGGUCAGUGGCCUCGGAGUCAAGUAGCGAACCACCACGUGUAUUAUCUUCCUGCAAAGAGGAAAUAAAUGUAGAGCAAAAUGUACCUAAGUCAGAGUCAGGACCUCCAUCUGUUGACAAUUCAGCUUGGGGAAUUAGAGAUAGUGGAGAGUCAGUUGUCACCACAGCUGCCAUCCCUGUGCUUACAACUACACCUGGUCGUUUCUUCAUAGCCACCAGUCGAGGUAUCCAUGGAGUUUGAAGCAAUUAUCAUGGGUGUGUUUUUUAUUACCACAGUAAGAACAUUUUCCCCCUUCAAUAGUGCUGCAAAUUUUGGAACCAACGGUCAAUUUUCCUGUACCUCGAGAUGAUGUGCCAGUAGAGGUAGGAACACUAGAACCCAGUUGCAGCCUUUUUGUGACCAGAACCGCACUAGAGAUAGUGGCAGGGUCGG